CUCCUACGGGAGGCAGCAGUGAGGAAUAUUGGACAAUGGGCGCAAGCCUGAUCCAGCCAUGCCGCGUGCAGGAUGACGGUCCUAUGGAUUGUAAACUGCUUUUGCACAGGAAGAAACAACUCUACGUGUAGAGUCUUGACGGUACUGUGAGAAUAAGGAUCGGCUAACUCCGUGCCAG
RNAcentral lists this ribosomal RNA (178 nucleotides) under uncultured Flavobacterium sp. RNAcentral's name for it is "partial 16S ribosomal RNA". It matches the Rfam family "Bacterial small subunit ribosomal RNA", at positions 336 to 511 of the family's 1533-position model. The record is from RNAcentral. Lineage: Bacteria; Pseudomonadati; Bacteroidota; Flavobacteriia; Flavobacteriales; Flavobacteriaceae.